CUUUGGCAACUAGAUGCAGUGCUAGGCUUCACUCUGCAAGGUGUUUAAAAAGAAAAACAGGUUUACUCAGGAUUUAUCAUGUAUGGAAAAAUGUAAUAUCUAAGUAGGCUGUCUGCUAAUGUCUGGCAUAAUGUUUCUUCAUAAUGGUUAACCCUUUUGCAGGGAGUGGAAUAAGAGUGCCUCUCUCUCUAGAUGGGAACUUUGCUUCAUGGGACAUUACAACUGUAUGCCUUAAGGCAGAAAAGCGCAUAAAGGUACCUGGGAAAGUAAAUUGCCAGAAGCGAAGAGCACCCCCCUUUCAAAAUCCUGUAAGUACUCCUCUCUCUCACAUCAAACCGACCCUAUGCAGAG
RNAcentral lists this long non-coding RNA (351 nucleotides) under Zonotrichia albicollis (white-throated sparrow). RNAcentral's name for it is "lncRNA (ENSZALG00000010142.1)". The record is from RNAcentral. Lineage: Eukaryota; Metazoa; Chordata; Aves; Passeriformes; Passerellidae.